RNAcentral lists this transfer RNA (76 nucleotides) under Anaerolineaceae bacterium. RNAcentral describes it as "tRNA-Arg". It matches the Rfam family "tRNA". From Rfam's summary of the family: Transfer RNA (tRNA) molecules are approximately 80 nucleotides in length. Their secondary structure includes four short double-helical elements and three loops (D, anti-codon, and T loops). RNAcentral also lists the same sequence under 1 other name. The record is from RNAcentral. Lineage: Bacteria; Bacillati; Chloroflexota; Anaerolineae; Anaerolineales; Anaerolineaceae.
ACCCCGGUAGCUCAAAUGGAAGAGCGAGGCUCUCCUAAAGCCUAGGUUAGGGGUUCGAGUCCCUUCCGGGGUACAA